This 386-nucleotide ribosomal RNA is filed under the name uncultured bacterium. RNAcentral describes it as "bacterial SSU rRNA". It matches the Rfam family "Bacterial small subunit ribosomal RNA", at positions 28 to 415 of the family's 1533-position model. The record is from RNAcentral.
GACGAACGCUGGCGGCGUGCUUAACACAUGCAAGUCGAGCGGUAAGGCCCUUUCGGGGGUACACGAGCGGCGAACGGGUGAGUAACACGUGGGUGACCUGCCCUCAGCUCUGGGAUAAGCCUGGGAAACCGGGUCUAAUACUGGAUAUGACUCCAUGACGCAUGUUGUGGGGUGGAAAGCCUUGUGCGGCUGAGGAUGGGCCCGCGGCCUAUCAGCUUGUUGGUGGGGUGAGGCCUACCAAGGCGACGACGGGUAGCCGGCCUGAGAGGGCGACCGGCCACACUGGGACUGAGACACGGCCCAGACUCCUACGGGAGGGCAGCAGUGGGGAAUCUUGCGCAAUGGGCGAAAGCCUGACGCAGCGACGCCGCGUGAGGGAUGACGGG